This 253-nucleotide ribosomal RNA is filed under the name uncultured bacterium. RNAcentral describes it as "partial 16S ribosomal RNA". It matches the Rfam family "Bacterial small subunit ribosomal RNA", at positions 524 to 776 of the family's 1533-position model. The record is from RNAcentral.
UACAGAGGUCCCGAGUGUUGUUCGGAUUCAUUGGGCGUAAAGGGUGCGUAGGCGGUUUGCUAAGUUUGAUGUGAAAUUCCAGGGCUCAACCCUGGCAUGGCAUUGAAUACUGGCGGACUAGAGUACUGGAGAGGAAACUGGAAUUUACGGUGUAGCAGUGAAAUGCGUAGAGAUCGUAAGGAAGACCAGUGGCGAAGGCGAGUUUCUGGACAGUAACUGACGCUGAGGCACGAAGGCCAGGGGAGCAAACGGG